RNAcentral lists this ribosomal RNA (217 nucleotides) under uncultured bacterium. Its description in RNAcentral is "partial 16S ribosomal RNA". It matches the Rfam family "Bacterial small subunit ribosomal RNA", at positions 1286 to 1500 of the family's 1533-position model. The record is from RNAcentral.
UCUCAGUUCGGAUUGUAGGCUGAAACUCGCCUACAUGAAGCUGGAGUUGCUAGUAAUCGCGAAUCAGCAUGUCGCGGUGAAUACGUUCCCGGGCCUUGUACACACCGCCCGUCACACCAUGAGAGUUGGCAAUACCCAACGUACGUGAUCUAACCCGCAAGGGAGGAAGCGUCCUAAGGUAGGGUCAGCGAUUGGGGUGAAGUCGUAACAAGGUAAC